This 1013-nucleotide ribosomal RNA is filed under the name bacterium Ellin363. Its description in RNAcentral is "bacterial SSU rRNA". It matches the Rfam family "Bacterial small subunit ribosomal RNA", at positions 28 to 1074 of the family's 1533-position model. The record is from RNAcentral. Lineage: Bacteria; Pseudomonadati; Pseudomonadota; Alphaproteobacteria.
AACGAACGCUGGCGGCAUGCCUAACACAUGCAAGUCGAACGUGAUCCAGGCUUCGGCCUGGUGAAAGUGGCAGACGGGUGAGUAACGCGUGGGAUCCUGCCCUGUGGUAGGGAAUAACCGUGGGAAACUGCGGCUAAUACCCUAUGAGUCCUUCGGGAGAAAGAUUYAUCGCCAUAGGAGGGGCCCGCGUCGGAUUAGGUAGUUGGUGGGGUAACGGCCUACCAAGCCUUCGAUCCGUAGCUGGUNUGAGAGGAUGAUCAGCCACACUGGGACUGAGAUACGGCCCAGACUCCUACGGGAGGCAGCAGUGGGGAAUAUUGGACAAUGGGGGCAACCCUGAUCCAGCAAUGCCGCGUGGAUGAUGAAGGCCUUCGGGUUGUAAAGUCCUUUCGGCGGGGAAGAUGAUGACGGUACCCGCANAAGAAGCCCCGGCUAACUUCGUGCCAGCAGCCGCGGUAAUACUAASGGGGCUAGCGUUGUUCGGAAUUACUGGGCGUAAAGGGCGCGUAGGCUGWGCUGNAAGUCAGGCGUGAAAGCCCCGGGCUCAACCUGGGAAUUGCGCUUGAUACUGMGGCGCUGGAAGGUGGGAGAGGAUGGCGGAAUUCCCAGUGUARAGGUGAANUUCGUAGAUAUUGGKAAGAACACCGGUGGCGAARGCGGCCAUCUGGCCCACAUUUGWCGCUSAGGCGCGAAAGCGWGGGGAGCAANCAGGAUUAKAUACCCUGGUAGUCCACGCUGUAAACGAUGAGUGCUAGACGUCGGGGAGCUUGCUCUUCGGUGUCGCCGNUAACGCAUUAAGCACUCCGCCUGGGGAGUACGGUCGCAAGAUUAACACUCAAAGGAAUUGACGGGGGCCCGCACAAGCGGUGGAGCAUGUGGUUUAAUUCGAAGCAACGCGCAGAACCUUACCAGCCCUUGACAUGGCACGUAUGGGAUUUGGAAACAGAUCUAUUCAGUUCGGCUGGCGUCCACACAGGUNCUGCAUGGSUGUCGUCAGCUCGUGUCGUGAGAUG